Molecule: long non-coding RNA, 1011 nt
Organism: Bos taurus (domestic cattle)
Lineage: Eukaryota; Metazoa; Chordata; Mammalia; Artiodactyla; Bovidae
Source: Ensembl
GUGGGCAGCACCUGGAGGGACAGUGGGACCCGGACUGGCAGGUGAGCCGUACAUACGUACAUACGGAUGGAACGAAUUGACGAUGCAAACCCCGGCCCGGGAAGGAGGGCCGGCGCUCAAUGAACUCCUCCUUGAACUCUUCCUCUCCCUUGAAGCCCCUCAGUUUGGUGACACAGAUUUUACUGUAAUUAAUAAUAAUGUCACCUUUCACCGUGAAAGUGAAAGUUGUGUCCGACUCUUUGGGACUCUACACAGUCCACGGAAUUCUCCAUAACUGGAACUCUCAGGCUGGGUGUCCUCCAACCACAGGAUCCAGAGGAGGAAAGCGAGGCUCAGAGGUCCCGAGAGUUGCAGAUCCAGAAUCUAACAUGAAGGCUGACCUCUGGGAGGACCGUGCUUACUGCUUCCCGUGUACGACUUCAUCAAACAUGAGAACCAGGAAACUGGGAGAUGGCGAAGGACAGGGAGCCUGGUGUGCUGCAGUUCAUGGGGUUGCAACGAGUCAGACACAACUUAGCCACUGAACAACAACAACAACAGAUCCCAUGUCAUAGACGAAAGGUCCAGAGGCGUCCAGUCACGUGCCCAGGUCCCACCGCUCCUUGGUGCCAGGAUCAACAACCAGACAUCUCAGCCAAAAGGUGGGAGCAACCCAAGUGACCGUAGAUGGUUGAAUGGAUAAACAAAACAUGAUCUAUCCAUACAAGAGACUCUUAGUCCACGGGGGACUCUUAAAGAGGAAGGAAGUUCUGACACGCAUGACGAUAAGGCUAACCUUGAAGACAUUAUGAUCAGUCACAAAAGGACACAAGCCAGUCACAAAAGGACAAAUAUUGCAGGAUUGCACUUCAUAGAGGGUAUUCAGAAUAGUCAAAUCCACGGGGACAGAAAGGAGCGUGGAGGUUGCCAGGACAGAAAGGGCUGGUGGGGAGGGAGAAUGCGCAGUUAGUGUGGGUGGGGGGAGUUCCAGCGGGGCGUGUUGAAGGGUUCUGGAGAUGAAUGGGGGUGCGG